GGGGUCUGCCCACCACCACAACAGCCAUGAGGGAUACGAGCUCCUGCUCAUAAAUGUCAGGGACAGGCAGGUGAGGCUCCUCCCGUGCCCAGUCUUUCAGCCUCGCCCGCAGCCUGUCUUCUGUUGCACAGGCAACCACAGGAGCACGAAUGUGAUCUCCUGGAAGAGAAAAAUUCAUGCUGCCCUUCCACAGUCCGAG
Molecule: long non-coding RNA, 199 nt
Organism: Ornithodoros turicata
Lineage: Eukaryota; Metazoa; Arthropoda; Arachnida; Ixodida; Argasidae
Exons: 3
Source: RefSeq, a predicted model, not a curated record